Molecule: ribosomal RNA, 253 nt
Filed under: uncultured bacterium
Lineage: Bacteria
Description: partial 16S ribosomal RNA
Rfam family: Bacterial small subunit ribosomal RNA
Source: RNAcentral
UACGUAGGUUGCAAGCGUUGUCCGGAUUUAUUGGGCGUAAAGCGAACGCAGGCGGGAUAACAAGUCAGCUGUGAAAGCCCGCGGCUUAACUGGGGAAGAGCAGCUGAAACGGAUAUUCUUGAGUGCAGAAGAGGAGACUGGAACUCCAUGUGUAGCGGUGGAAUGCGUAGAUAUAUGGAAGAACACCAGUGGCGAAGGCGGCUCUCUGGUCUGUAACUGACGCUGAGGUUCGAAAGCAUGGGUAGCGAACAGG